AAUAAGACUCUCGGCAACGGAUAUCUCGGCUCUCGCAUCGAUGAAGAACGUAGCAAAAUGCGAUACCUGGUGUGAAUUGCAGAAUCCCGUGAACCAUCGAGUUUUUGAACGCAAGUUGCGCCCGAGUCCUUUUGGUCGAGGGCACGUCUGCCUGGGCGUCACGC
This 164-nucleotide ribosomal RNA is filed under the name Lophacme digitata. RNAcentral's name for it is "5.8S ribosomal RNA". It matches the Rfam family "5.8S ribosomal RNA". Rfam says of the family: 5.8S ribosomal RNA (5.8S rRNA) is a component of the large subunit of the eukaryotic ribosome. It is transcribed by RNA polymerase I as part of the 45S precursor that also contains 18S and 28S rRNA. Lineage: Eukaryota; Viridiplantae; Streptophyta; Magnoliopsida; Poales; Poaceae. The record is from RNAcentral.